RNAcentral lists this ribosomal RNA (258 nucleotides) under uncultured bacterium. Its description in RNAcentral is "partial 16S ribosomal RNA". It matches the Rfam family "Bacterial small subunit ribosomal RNA", at positions 793 to 1055 of the family's 1533-position model. The record is from RNAcentral.
GUCCACGCCCUAAACGAUGCUUACUCGACGUAUGGCACUAGUUGUUGUGCGUCCAAGGGAAACCGUUAAGUAAGCCACCUGGGGAGUACGACCGCAAGGUUGAAACUCAAAGGAAUUGACGGGGUCCGCACAAGCGGUGGAGCAUGUGGUUUAAUUCGAUGAUACGCGAGGAACCUUACCUGGGCUAGAAUGCGAGUGACGUCCCGGGAAACCGGGAUUCCCUUCGGGGCACAAAGCAAGGUGCUGCAUGGCUGUCGU